Molecule: transfer RNA, 67 nt
Filed under: Eupleres goudotii (falanouc)
Lineage: Eukaryota; Metazoa; Chordata; Mammalia; Carnivora; Eupleridae
Description: tRNA-Trp
Source: RNAcentral
AGGAGUUUAGGUUAAACAGACCAAGAGCCUUCAAAGCCCUAAGCAAAUCUCACUGAUUUAACUCCUG